GGCCUAAUGGUCUAGUAGUAUGAUUCUUCCUUCGGGUUCUCCGCAACCCGCGCCGUAACCCGACGCGUCAGAUGGAAGAGGUCCUGGGUUCAAUUCCCAGUUAGGCCC
Molecule: non-coding RNA, 108 nt
Organism: Schizophyllum amplum
Lineage: Eukaryota; Fungi; Basidiomycota; Agaricomycetes; Agaricales; Schizophyllaceae
Source: the annotation of a GenBank genome assembly